GACGAACGCUGGCGGCGUGCUUAACACAUGCAAGUCGAACGGUAAGGCCCUUCGGGGUACGACGAGUGGCGAACGGGUGGAGUAACACGUGGGUGGAUCUGCCCUGCACUUCGGGAUAAGCCUGGGAAACUGGGUCUAAUACCGGAUAGGACCAUGGACUUCACGGUUUGUGGUGGAAAGCUUUUGCGGUGUGGGAUGGGCCCGCGGCCUAUCAGCUUGUUGGUGGGGUAAUGGCCUACCAAGGCGACAACGGGUAGCCGGCCUGAGAGGGUGUCCGGCCACACUGGGACUGAGAUACGGCCCAGACUCCUACGGGAGGCAGCAGUGGGGAAUAUUGCACAAUGGGCGCAAGCCUGAUGCAGCGACGCCGCGUGAGGGAUGACGG
RNAcentral lists this ribosomal RNA (385 nucleotides) under uncultured bacterium. Its description in RNAcentral is "bacterial SSU rRNA". It matches the Rfam family "Bacterial small subunit ribosomal RNA", at positions 28 to 414 of the family's 1533-position model. The record is from RNAcentral.